RNAcentral lists this ribosomal RNA (931 nucleotides) under Mucor prayagensis. RNAcentral describes it as "LSU rRNA". It matches the Rfam family "Eukaryotic large subunit ribosomal RNA", at positions 81 to 921 of the family's 3401-position model. Lineage: Eukaryota; Fungi; Mucoromycota; Mucoromycetes; Mucorales; Mucoraceae. The record is from RNAcentral.
UAGUAACGGCGAGUGAAGAGGAAAGAGCUCAAAGUUGGAACCUGUUUGGCUUAGCUAAACCGGAUUGUAAACUGUAGAAACGUUUUCCUGGCACGCCAGAUAAAUAAGUCCUUUGGAACAGGGCAUCAUAGAGGGUGAGAAUCCCGUCUUUGGUCUGAGCUGUUGUCUUUUGUGAUACGUUUUCAAAGAGUCAGGUUGUUUGGGAAUGCAGCCUAAAUUGGGUGGUAAAUCUCACCUAAAGCUAAAUAUUUGCGAGAGACCGAUAGCGAACAAGUACCGUGAGGGAAAGAUGAAAAGAACUUUGAAAAGAGAGUUAAACAGUAUGUGAAAUUGUUAAAAGGGAACCGUUUGGAGCCAGACUGGCUUGAUCGUAAUCAAUCUAGGUUUCGACCUGGAUGCACUUGCGGUCUAUGCCUGCCAACGACAGUUCUUUUUGAAGGAUAAAACUAGGAGGAAUGUAGCCCCUCGGGGUGUUAUAGACUUCUAGAUAAUACUUUGAUUGGGACUGAGGAACGCAGUGAAUGCUUAUGGCGAAAUUGCUAGGCGCUUUUGUUGAUAGAUGUUAGAAUUUCUGCUUCGGGUGGUGCUGAUGUCUAAAGAUAAAACUCGUUUGGUUAAUUUUCUAUUCACUUAGGUUGUUGGCUUAAUGACUCUAAAUGACCCGUCUUGAAACACGGACCAAGGAGUCCACCAUUAGUGCGAGUAUUUGGGUGCCAAACCCAUAUGCGUAAGGAAACUGAUUGAUACGAAACCGCAAGGUGGCAGUAUCACCCGGCGUUGACGUUUUAUACUGAACUGACCGAGGUUAAGCACUAAUGAUGGGACCCGAAAGAUGGUGAACUAUGCCUGAAUAGGGUGAAGCCGGAGGAAACUCCGGUGGAGGCUCGUAGCGAUUCUGACGUGCAAAUCGAUCGUCAAAUUUGGGUAUAGG